AGCCAUGCAUGUUUCCGCAAUCAGGGACGAAUAGCUCAGUAAAACUGCGAUGAUUUAGUCUGGCUGUGUAGAUAACUACGUGAAAAUGUAGCUAAGGGAAGGCAGAAUAAGACGCAGGACUAUCAGUUAGUUGGUAGUGUAAUGGACUACCAAGACAGUGACGGUUGACGGGAAAUUAGGGUUUUGUACCGGAGAGGGAGCCUGAGAGAUUGCUCCCACGUCCAAGGACGGCAGCAGGCGCGAAAAUUGCCCACUCUUUGCAGGAGGCAGUUAUGAGACGUGAAGAUGAGUAUCUUGUAAAGAGGGAUAGGAGAAUUGGAGGGCAAGUUUGGUGCCAGCAGCCGCGGUAAUACCGACUCCAAGAGUGUGUAUGAGAGAUGCUGCAGUUAAAAAGUCCGUAGUCAUAGAAGGGCAAAGAGAGAUGCGAGGUCUCACAGUGCGAUGAUGGAGGA
RNAcentral lists this ribosomal RNA (452 nucleotides) under Vittaforma corneae. RNAcentral describes it as "SSU rRNA". It matches the Rfam family "Microsporidia small subunit ribosomal RNA", at positions 46 to 510 of the family's 1311-position model. Lineage: Eukaryota; Fungi; Microsporidia; Nosematidae. The record is from RNAcentral.